GUUGCUACGUUUGAUUCUGUUUGUAGGUGUGGAAUUUUGCUGGAAUGUUUAUCCUUCCAACAACUUUUCAUCUGCACUACUUCUAUUUCUACAUUUAGUUAUCCUCUGGGGUCAAUGGUCUUCUCCAUCUAAGUAUCCUUACAAGGAUGAUCAACUGUCAACUAAAGAGAAGCACAGAUGAGGUGUCUUUAACCCCACCCGCCCACCAUCAUUUUCCUCUUUUUUUUUUUUUUCAAAAUUUAUUACUCUUUCCAUAGAAUUUACCUCUCCUCUUUUCUGUACUUGUUUGAUUACCUGAAUAUUUAGCCUACA
This 312-nucleotide unclassified non-coding RNA is filed under the name Hevea brasiliensis (rubber tree). Lineage: Eukaryota; Viridiplantae; Streptophyta; Magnoliopsida; Malpighiales; Euphorbiaceae. The record is from RNAcentral.